RNAcentral lists this ribosomal RNA (221 nucleotides) under uncultured bacterium. RNAcentral describes it as "partial 16S ribosomal RNA". It matches the Rfam family "Bacterial small subunit ribosomal RNA", at positions 15 to 240 of the family's 1533-position model. The record is from RNAcentral.
GAUCAUGGCUCAGGAUGAACGCUGGCGGCGUGCCUAAUACAUGCAAGUCGAACGCUUCACUUCGGUGAAGAGUGGCGAACGGGUGAGUAAUACAUAAGUAACCUAGCAUCUACAGGGGGAUAACUGAUGGAAACGUCAGCUAAGACCGCAUAGGCGUAGAGAUCGCAUGAACUCUAUAUGAAAAGUGCUACGGGACUGGUAGAUGAUGGACUUAUGGCGCA